AUGGACAGUAACUUUGUUUCUAAUGAUUCAGCUCUUAAUAUCCUUUAUAAUAAACCGGUAAAUUCUUCCAUGUGUGCUAAGAUUGUGCAGCUUCUGGGACAGAAUGAGGUGGACUAUCACCAGAAGCAAGUGGUCAUCCUGAGCCAGGGUAGCUUCUACUGUGUCCUCACUUCAGAGCAGAAGGCCAAAGCCCUGAAGGGCCAGUUCAGCUUUGAUCACCUGGAUGCCUUUGACAAUGAACUCAUCUUCAAAACACUCAAAGAAAUCACCGAAGGGAAAACAGUCCAGAUCCCCGUGUAUGACUUUGUUUCCCACUCCCGGAAGCAGGAGGUUACUGCCUAUCCCACAGACAUGGUGCUCUUUGAAAGGAUCCUGGCCUUCUACUCCCAGAAGGUACGAGAACUGUUUCAGAUGAAGCCUUUUGUGGAUACAGAUGCGGACACGCAGCUCUCUCUCAGAGUGUUAAGGGACAUCAGUGAAAGAGGGAGGGACCUGGAACAGAUUUUAUCUCAGUACAUUACGUUCAUCAAGCCUGCCUUUGAGGAAUUCUGCUUGCCAACGAAGAAAUACGCUGUGAUCAUUCCUAGAGGUGCAAAUAAUCUAGUGGCCAUCAACCUCAUCAUGCAGCACAUCGGGACAUCUUGAAUGGAGGGCUCUCCAAACGGCAGACCAAUGGCUAUCUCAAUGGCCACACCCCUUCACACAAGAGGCAGGAGUCAGAGCCCAGUAGCCGGCUGCAUUGA
Galeopterus variegatus (Sunda flying lemur) is the source of this 743-nucleotide RNA transcript. It is a transcript of the gene named uridine-cytidine kinase 2 pseudogene, with no coding region annotated. The transcript is spliced from 2 exons. NCBI's taxonomy places the organism in Eukaryota, Metazoa, Chordata, Mammalia, Dermoptera, Cynocephalidae. The record is from RefSeq and is a predicted model, not a curated record.